GGUUGUGAAGACAAUCUGGCUGCAACAUCUGUCACCCAUUGACCACCAGGGUUAUUUGAGCUGAUCUGGCUGGCUAGGCGGGUGUCCCCUUCCUCCCUCACCACUCCUUGUUCAUGCUCAGUCGAAGAGGGUGUCCUUCCCCAGUAGAGGAGAACCCUUCUUGGGUUAAGGAUAUAUGAAUAGAUGUGUUUCCUGGCUAGAACCUACAAACAAGCUCUCAAAACAAAAAAUAAAAAGGACUGGGGAUGUAGCAAACAUGCCAUUUAUUUAAAAGGAGUCUUAUGUUU
Molecule: unclassified non-coding RNA, 287 nt
Organism: Ictidomys tridecemlineatus (thirteen-lined ground squirrel)
Lineage: Eukaryota; Metazoa; Chordata; Mammalia; Rodentia; Sciuridae
Gene: 7SK
Rfam family: 7SK RNA
About the family: 7SK was discovered as an abundant small nuclear RNA in the mid-70s but a possible function has only recently been suggested. Two independent studies have found that 7SK RNA binds the CDK9/cyclin T complex (known as elongation factor P-TEFb).
Source: Ensembl